AUGAGUAACGCUGCGCACUGUCCACAGCUACAGCCAUGGUUAGGCCGAGCUAAAGCAAAAACUCAAGGAAUCUUGCAGCUAGUACGAACCCCAUUAGUCAGUCCUCUUCCCUGCUCUUCUCUUCACUCUGACCACACCAAGCACAAACCGAGAGAUGGGUUCGAGAGAGGAAUAGAGAGAUCAAUGGCGGUGGUGAGUUCUUCGCUGGGCGUGUUGGGUCCCUUGGUGGGGAAGCUCACUGGUUUGCUUGCCAAUGAGUGUGCCCGCCUGAAAGGCGUCCGUCGCGAGAUCCGCUCGCUCAGAUCCGAGCUGACCUGCAUGCAUGGCGCGGUCCAGAAAUACACGACGCUGCAAGAUCCCGAUGUCCAGGUGAAGGCAUGGAUAUCGUUGCUGAGGGAGCUGGCCUAUGACAUUGAGGAUGUCAUUGACAAGUUCAUCCACCAGCUCGGUAAUGAGGGCCACCAGCACCAGGGUGGCUUCAAGGAGUUCUUUCGCAAGACUGCUCGCCGGCUCAAGACCAUGGGCUCCCGCCGUGGAAUCGCCAGCCAAAUCGAAGAUCUGAAGAUUCGUCUCAAGGAGGUAAAAGAGUUAAAAAGUAGUUACAAGUUGGAUGAUAUUCCCUUCGAACAUUCAACUGUGGAUCCUCGCUUGUCUGCUCUUUUUGUUGAGGAAACACACCUCGUGCGCAUUGAUGGUCCAAGAGAUGAUCUUGCCAAUUGGAUGUUGGAAGAUAAAAAUGGCUCGAUCAAGGAUCGCAAGGUGUUGUCCAUUGUUGGCUUCGGUGGAUUGGGAAAAACAACACUUGCAAGGGAGGUCUACCGUAAGAUCCGAGGGCAUUUUGAUUGUCAGGCUUUUGUCUCGGUCUCACAAAAGCCUAAUGUAAAGAAAAUUAUGAAGGAUUUGAUCUCCCAGAUGCCUUGCGAGAAAGAAUUUAUAGAAGGCAUCGACACUUGGGAUGAAGCGGAAUGUAUUGCGAAGCUAANNNNNNNNNNNNNNNNNNNNNNGUAUCUCAUCAUUAUUGAUGAUAUAUGGUCCAUAUCAGCAUGGGACGCUAUUAAAUAUGCUUUCCCGGAGAAUGAUUUUUCUAGCAGAAUUAUUGCUACUACACGCAAUGUUCAUGUAGCAAGAUCAUGUUCUCAUGGUGGUAAUGGCCGCAUGUAUGAAAUGGAAGCCCUAAAUGAUCUCCACUCCAAACGAUUGUUCUUCAAAAGAAUAUUUGGUUCUGAGGACUGCUGCCCUGAUAUGCUAAAACAGGUUUCGAAUAAAAUACUGAAGAAAUGUGGAGGCCUCCCAUUGGCAAUUAUCAGUAUAGCAAGUUUAUUGGCAAACAGACCGGUGGUCAAAGAUGAGUGGGAGAGGGUCAGAAGGUCUGUUGGUUCUGCAUUGGAUAAAAACCGAAGCUUAGAUGGAAUGAAUAACAUAUUAUCCCUUAGUUACAAUGAUCUUUCACCCAAUCUCAAGACCUGCUUGUUAUAUUUAUGUAUAUAUCCUGAGGAUUAUGUGAUUGAGAGAAAUGUUUUAGUGAGGCGAUGGAUAGCAGAAGGCUUCAUCUCUGAAGAGCGCGGACAAAGCAAGCAAGAGGUUGCCGAGAACCACUUCUACGAGCUAAUAAACAAAAGUAUGGUCCAACCGGUUGAAAUUGGCUAUGAUGGAAAGGCUCGUGCUUGUCAAGUCCAUGACAUGAUGCUCGAGCUCAUUAUUUCAAAAUCGGUUGAAGAUAAUUUCAUCUCUUUGGCAGGCCAUGGUCAAACAGAUUUGGCAAAGCGUGAUGGUCUUAUUCGGCGACUAUCGGUCCAGCAUAUUGACCAAGAGCUUGCAUCCAUGUUCAGAAAUGAAGAUCUAAGCCAUGUACGAUCUCUGACAGUGAUAGCAUCAACUUGCAUCAAACACUUGCCUAGGCUUAUUUUGUUUGAAGCUUUGCGUGUACUUGAAUUUCAAUAUUGUGAGAGUCUGCAUGAGUAUGAUAUGAAUGGUAUAGAUAAACUAUUUCAACUGAAGUACCUGAGCCUUAGGGGCACUCAUAUGUCGAAGCUACCAUCAGGGAUUGUGAGGCUAUAUGGUCUAGAGACGCUAGAUCUCAGAGAUACACGUAUAAAGGAAUUGCCCGUUGGAAUUGUUCAGCUCGAUAAGCUGCAACAUCUACUCAUUGCAAGAAAUCCAUAUUCCAAUGUUCCUGACGGUGAAGUGAAGAUACCAAAUGGGAUUGGAAACAUGAACAAUUUACAGGCGAUCUCGGGCUUUAAUAUUAUCAAGAGUUCAUUAUGUGCAGUCGAGGAACUGGGGAAUUUGACCAAUUUGAAGGAACUCCAUCUACAGUUGGACGGUGGAGGAUCUCAGGAAUACAAGAGGCAUGAAGAGAUGUUGCUCUCCUCACUAUGCAAGCUUGGCACCUGCAAACUUCAGUCUUUAUGGAUAUACUCUCCUGAUUCAACACCCCUCCAGCUCUUAGAUUCCUGGUCCCCUCUGCCAUAUAACCUCCAAAUGUUUCAGAUGUCCACCUCCUACGAUUUACCAAAGAUGCCAAAGUGGAUUGUACCAGCACUCACCAGUCUUGCAUACCUGAACAUUAAUUUGAUUGAAGCAACACAGGAGGAUCUGCGGAUGCUUGGAGAGAUGCCUGCCUUACUCAGUCUGAGUAUAACAUUCAACGCUGUCCAAAAAGAAAGGCUUACCUUACAAGGCGUUGCAUUCCCAUGUUUGAAGGAAUUCUACCUUAUUCGUACUUUCCGUUAUGGAAUCGCAAUUUACUUGACGUUUGAAGAAGGGGCAAUGUCAAAGCUGGAGAAGCUUGAGGUGCCGUUGUUUGUUUCAGUGGCAGAAGCCUAUGGAUUCUACUUGGGUCUUGGCCACCUCCCAUGUCUAAGAGACGCCGAAAUUACUCUUUGCAAUAAUGCUGACACAUCUUAUGAAAGCAACUCUGCUGCAGCUGCUGCUAUAAGGAACGAGGCAAAUAGCCAUCCCAAUCAUCCCAGGCUAUCCAUCCGGUGUGAAAUGGAAGAGGGCUACAGCUACAAGGAAGAGAGCUACACCGAAUGA
RNAcentral lists this ribosomal RNA (3036 nucleotides) under Triticum aestivum (bread wheat). RNAcentral's name for it is "partial small subunit ribosomal RNA". Lineage: Eukaryota; Viridiplantae; Streptophyta; Magnoliopsida; Poales; Poaceae. The record is from RNAcentral.